This 440-nucleotide ribosomal RNA is filed under the name uncultured bacterium. RNAcentral's name for it is "partial 16S ribosomal RNA". It matches the Rfam family "Bacterial small subunit ribosomal RNA", at positions 338 to 795 of the family's 1533-position model. The record is from RNAcentral.
CCUACGGGUGGCAGCAGUGGGGAAUAUUGCACAAUGGGGGAAACCCUGAUGCAGCGACGCCGCGUGAGUGAAGAAGUAUCUCGGUACGUAAAGCUCUAUCAGCAGGGAAGAAAAUGACGGUAACUGACUAAGAAGCCCCGGCUAACUACGUGCCAGCAGCCGCGGUAAUACGUAGGGGGCAAGCGUAGUCCGGAUUUACUGGGUGUAAAGGGAGCGUAGACUGCAGCAGAAGUCUGGAGUUAAAUCCCGGGGCUUAACCCCGGGACUGCUUUGGAAACUGUGCGGCUGGAGUGCAGGAGGGGUAAGCGGAAUUCCUAGUGUAGCGGUGAAAUGCGUAGAUAUUAGGAGGAACACCGGUGGCGAAGGCGGCUUACUGGACUGUAACUGACGUUGAGGCUCGAAAGCGUGGGGAGCAAACAGGAUUAGAUACCCCGGUAGUC